This 1541-nucleotide long non-coding RNA is filed under the name Equus asinus (donkey). RNAcentral's name for it is "lncRNA (ENSEASG00005028056.1)". The record is from RNAcentral. Lineage: Eukaryota; Metazoa; Chordata; Mammalia; Perissodactyla; Equidae.
GUUAGCAUGGCGCCUUGCAGUGUCCGUAUGUCUAUUGCGCGGUUCAAUCUUUCAGGAACUGUCAAGCGAACGACAUGGCCGCGCCCAUAAAGAAUGGAGGCCGUCAUUUUCAAAGAAUGUCCAUUCCGUACAGCCAGGGAAGGUAGAUCUUCAGGACCUGCUGCAAGAGCCCACGCAGCUCUAAAGCCUGAGAAAGAAGAGAGCUGAGGGGCAGGCAGAAGAGAAGUUUGGAGAAGCAAGCCACAGUACAAAGUGUCCCUGUGUUCCCAGAGGAGCGUGCAAGAGGAUGGGCUGCGGAUACCAGGGCUGGUAACGGUGCAGGAGGGAUUGUGGGUCCUGGUACUCUGUGCCUUCUCCAACCUCCCUGAUGGAUGGAAUCACUCGGACUCACACAUCUUCUGGUUCCUGGAAGGGGCCGACAUAUACCAGGAUCCUCCAGUGGCCACAAACAAACUGAGCCAGAAGCUGCAAGAGAGGACCCUGGGCUGCUUCCAUUUCCUUCCAUUUCCCAGACCAAGAGCUGCUCCCUGAGAAUCAGAGAUGCCAGGAAGAAAGAUGACACCCGACAUCCAAGUUCCAGCAGCUCUGGAGUCUGGCCCUCCUGGAAGCCUGGUCUGCUCCAUGCCGGCAGCCUGUAGUUGGAGGAGGCCCACCGUCUUCUCCUGCAUAUGGGACACCCCAGCUAACCUCUCAGAGGUCACCAUCGUCCCACGGCUCUGGAACCACAGCAUCAAUGUGACUACAGAGAUGACCAUCAAGCUCAAUGUCUCAUAUGGCCCCCAGAACCUGACCAUCAGUGUCUUCUGUGAGAAUAAUAAAGAUUGGAGAGAAUAUCUCAUGUCCAAGGCUGUGAUGGAGGGAAGAAGGUGUCUACAACACCUCAGAACAAAGUCUAAAAGUCUUGGAGGUUGAAGCAUAGCAGGCUGAGGUCAGACAAGUGGACUGUAGGCACUCAAAGGCCCCCUAACUCUUCUGUCCCCCGUGAUCAGCCCCCACACUCACAACCACAAAAACAGACCUUCUUCUUGUCAAAUCUUCUGGAGACCUUCCAUCCUCACUUGCCUGGACCUCUUGGAGGGAUCUUUUGUUUUGGCGGCUGACUUCUUCUUGACCUUCCCAGCUCCCUUCCCAAGAGCCAGAUCCAAGCAUCGGAUGUUGCCUUUGAAGACCCCCUCAAGAUCCUACCUCUCCACCCAGCCUCACCUGUCUACUUUUCAAUACUUUUCAUUUAAGUAUUUCCCCCAGGCAAUUUAUUUUGCACAGUCUCAUAUUCAAAAGGUUCAAAAGAGCAUGUGAUAGAAUGUACCUCUCCCAUCUCAGUCCCCCUAGAUUCCUCGUUUCCUUCACUGGAGGCAUCCAUUGUAAACUCUUUCUGUGUUCACUCAGAAAUGCCUUUUGCAUAUAUAAAAAUAUCCGUAUAUUUUCAUGUAGAUAUAAAUAUAGAUUCUGUGUGAACCUGCUUUUUUACACACAAAGCACCCUAUAUACAUUGUUCUGAAUCUUUUUUCUUAAUUAACAAUAAUUCUUAGAGAUCCUCUCAC